Molecule: ribosomal RNA, 500 nt
Filed under: uncultured bacterium
Lineage: Bacteria
Description: partial 16S ribosomal RNA
Rfam family: Bacterial small subunit ribosomal RNA
Source: RNAcentral
AUUGAACGCUGGCGGCAUGCCUUACACAUGCAAGUCGAACGGCAGCACGGGAGCAAUCCUGGUGGCGAGUGGCGAACGGGUGAGUAAAGUAUCGGAACGUGCCCAGUCGUGGGGGAUAACGUAGCGAAAGUUACGCUAAUACCGCAUACGAUCUAUGGAUGAAAGCGGGGGAGCGCAAGAACUCGCGCGAUUGGAGCGGCCGAUAUCAGAUGAGGUAGUUGGUGGGGUAAAGCCUCACCAAGCCGACGAUCUGUAGCUGGUCUGAGAGGACGACCAGCCACACUGGGACGGAGACACGGCCCAGACUCCGACGGGAGGCAGCAGUGGGGAAUUUUGGACAAUGGGCGAAAGCCUGAUCCAGUCAUGCCGCGUGCAGGAUGAAGGACUUCGGGUUGUAAACUGCUUUUGUACGGAACGAAAAGGUUUGGCCCAAUAAGCUGGGCUCAUGACGGUACCGUAAGAAUAAGCACCGGCUAACUACGUGCCAGCAGCCGCCGUAA